AUUAAAAGCAAAUGCGCAGUAUAAGGGCUUAUUUAGUAUUAUGGUAGUUGGUUAUGUUAAAAAGCUAACCAAGCCUUAGAUGCUUAGCAGGCUUUAACGAGUGAUCUGCCACAACGGGCUUGAAAUAGUGCCUGAACAUUUAUGGCAGCAGUAAAGAAUCUUGGGCAAUGCAUUCAAGUGUGACCCAGCAAGUCUCCGUGGAUGAUGAAGAUAUUAAAUUAUAUUGUAAAAUUCUAUCUUUUUAUAUUUAUAAUGAAAUAUAAAAAGGAAAGCACAGGCUAAAUUCGUGCCAGCAGCCGCGGUAAUACGGAUUGUGCAAGUCUUUGACCUCGUGACUAGGUGUAAAAGGCCUACAUAGGAGGUUAUAUAAGUUAUUGAGUAAAUACAGGGUAUAAACCUUGGAAUCUCAAUAAAACUUUAUAACUAGAAUAUAAAAGG
RNAcentral lists this ribosomal RNA (438 nucleotides) under uncultured bacterium. RNAcentral describes it as "bacterial SSU rRNA". It matches the Rfam family "Bacterial small subunit ribosomal RNA", at positions 199 to 655 of the family's 1533-position model. The record is from RNAcentral.